RNAcentral lists this ribosomal RNA (255 nucleotides) under uncultured bacterium. Its description in RNAcentral is "partial 16S ribosomal RNA". It matches the Rfam family "Bacterial small subunit ribosomal RNA", at positions 524 to 776 of the family's 1533-position model. The record is from RNAcentral.
GACAUAGGUGGCAAACGUUAUCCGGAAUUAUUGGGCGUAAAGGAUGCGUAGAUGGUGUGAUAAGUUAUCAGUGGAAAAUCGGGGCUCAACCUCGUGGAAGCUGGUAAUACUGUUAUACUUGAGUUCAGGAGAGGUUAACGGAACUCCAUGUGGAGCGGUAAAAUGCGUAGAUAUAUGGAAGAACACCGAUAAGGCGAAGGCAGUUAACUAUUCUGUUACUGACAUUGAGGCAUGAAAGCGUGGGGAGCAAAACGG